This 460-nucleotide ribosomal RNA is filed under the name uncultured bacterium. RNAcentral's name for it is "partial 16S ribosomal RNA". It matches the Rfam family "Bacterial small subunit ribosomal RNA", at positions 338 to 795 of the family's 1533-position model. The record is from RNAcentral.
CCUACGGGAGGCAGCAGUGAGGAAUAUUGGUCAAUGGGCGUAAGCCUGAACCAGCCAAGUCGCGUGAGGGAUGACUGCCCUACGGGUUGUAAACUUCUUUUAUAAAGGAAUAAAGUGAGGCACGUGUGCCUUUUUGUAUGUACUUUAUGACUAAGGAUCGGCUAACUCCGUGCCAGCAGCCGCGGUAAUACGGAGGAUCCGAGCGUUAUCCGGAUUUAUUGGGUUUAAAGGAAGCGUAGAUGGGUUGUUAAGUCAGUUGUGAAAGUUUGCGGCUCAACCGUAAAAUUGCAAUUGAUACUGGCAGCCUUGAGUACAGUUGAGGUAGGCGGAAUUCGUGGUGUAGCGGUGAAAUGCUUAGAUAUCACGAAGAACCCCGAUUGCGAAGGCAGCUUACUAAACUGUGACUGACAUUGAUGCUCGAAAGUGUGGGUAUCAAACAGGAUUAGAUACCCCAGUAGUC